RNAcentral lists this ribosomal RNA (1404 nucleotides) under Lactiplantibacillus pentosus. RNAcentral describes it as "bacterial SSU rRNA". It matches the Rfam family "Bacterial small subunit ribosomal RNA", at positions 62 to 1433 of the family's 1533-position model. Lineage: Bacteria; Bacillati; Bacillota; Bacilli; Lactobacillales; Lactobacillaceae. The record is from RNAcentral.
UCGACGAACUCUGGUAUUGAUUGGUGCUUGCAUCAUGAUUUACAUUUGAGUGAGUGGCGAACUGGUGAGUAACACGUGGGAAACCUGCCCAGAAGCGGGGGAUAACACCUGGAAACAGAUGCUAAUACCGCAUAACAACUUGGACCGCAUGGUCCGAGUUUGAAAGAUGGCUUCGGCUAUCACUUUUGGAUGGUCCCGCGGCGUAUUAGCUAGAUGGUGAGGUAACGGCUCACCAUGGCAAUGAUACGUAGCCGACCUGAGAGGGUAAUCGGCCACAUUGGGACUGAGACACGGCCCAAACUCCUACGGGAGGCAGCAGUAGGGAAUCUUCCACAAUGGACGAAAGUCUGAUGGAGCAACGCCGCGUGAGUGAAGAAGGGUUUCGGCUCGUAAAACUCUGUUGUUAAAGAAGAACAUAUCUGAGAGUAACUGUUCAGGUAUUGACGGUAUUUAACCAGAAAGCCACGGCUAACUACGUGCCAGCAGCCGCGGUAAUACGUAGGUGGCAAGCGUUGUCCGGAUUUAUUGGGCGUAAAGCGAGCGCAGGCGGUUUUUUAAGUCUGAUGUGAAAGCCUUCGGCUCAACCGAAGAAGUGCAUCGGAAACUGGGAAACUUGAGUGCAGAAGAGGACAGUGGAACUCCAUGUGUAGCGGUGAAAUGCGUAGAUAUAUGGAAGAACACCAGUGGCGAAGGCGGCUGUCUGGUCUGUAACUGACGCUGAGGCUCGAAAGUAUGGGUAGCAAACAGGAUUAGAUACCCUGGUAGUCCAUACCGUAAACGAUGAAUGCUAAGUGUUGGAGGGUUUCCGCCCUUCAGUGCUGCAGCUAACGCAUUAAGCAUUCCGCCUGGGGAGUACGGCCGCAAGGCUGAAACUCAAAGGAAUUGACGGGGGCCCGCACAAGCGGUGGAGCAUGUGGUUUAAUUCGAAGCUACGCGAAGAACCUUACCAGGUCUUGACAUACUAUGCAAAUCUAAGAGAUUAGACGUUCCCUUCGGGGACAUGGAUACAGGUGGUGCAUGGUUGUCGUCAGCUCGUGUCGUGAGAUGUUGGGUUAAGUCCCGCAACGAGCGCAACCCUUAUUAUCAGUUGCCAGCAUUAAGUUGGGCACUCUGGUGAGACUGCCGGUGACAAACCGGAGGAAGGUGGGGAUGACGUCAAAUCAUCAUGCCCCUUAUGACCUGGGCUACACACGUGCUACAAUGGAUGGUACAACGAGUUGCGAACUCGCGAGAGUAAGCUAAUCUCUUAAAGCCAUUCUCAGUUCGGAUUGUAGGCUGCAACUCGCCUACAUGAAGUCGGAAUCGCUAGUAAUCGCGGAUCAGCAUGCCGCGGUGAAUACGUUCCCGGGCCUUGUACACACCGCCCGUCACACCAUGAGAGUUUGUAACACCCAAAGUCGGUGG